CUACAGGGGUUUCUAAUCCUGUUUGCUCCCCUAGCUUUCGCACUUCAGCGUCAGUUACCGUCCAGUGAACUAUCUUCAUCAUCGGCAUUCCUGCACAUAUCUACGAAUUUCACCUCUACUCGUGCAGUUCCGUCCACCUCUCCGAUACUCUAGCCCUGUAGUUUCCGGGGCAGGCCUGCGGUUGAGCCGCAGGUUUUCACCCUAGACUUACAGGGCCGCCUAGAUGCCCUUUAUGCCCAAUAAUUCCGGAUAACGCUUGCGACAUACGUAUUACCGCGGCUGCUGGCAC
This 289-nucleotide ribosomal RNA is filed under the name uncultured Leptotrichia sp. RNAcentral describes it as "partial 16S ribosomal RNA". Lineage: Bacteria; Fusobacteriati; Fusobacteriota; Fusobacteriia; Fusobacteriales; Leptotrichiaceae. The record is from RNAcentral.